CGCCGCGUGAGGGAUGACGGCCUUCGGGUUGUAAACCUCUUUCAGCAGGGAAGAAGCGAGAGUGACGGUACCUGCAGAAGAAGCGCCGGCUAACUACGUGCCAGCAGCCGCGGUAAUACGUAGGGCGCAAGCGUUGUCCGGAAUUAUUGGGCGUAAAGAGCUCGUAGGCGGCUUGUCGCGUCGGUUGUGAAAGCCCGGGGCUUAACCCCGGGUCUGCAGUCGAUACGGGCAGGCUAGAGUUCGGUAGGGGAGAUCGGAAUUCCUGGUGUAGCGGUGAAAUGCGCAGAUAUCAGGAGGAACACCGGUGGCGAAGGCGGAUCUCUGGGCCGAUACUGACGCUGAGGAGCGAAAGCGUGGGGAGCGAACAGGAUUAGAUACCCUGGUAGUCCAAGGG
This 394-nucleotide ribosomal RNA is filed under the name uncultured bacterium. Its description in RNAcentral is "bacterial SSU rRNA". It matches the Rfam family "Bacterial small subunit ribosomal RNA", at positions 395 to 801 of the family's 1533-position model. The record is from RNAcentral.